UAUCCCCACCAUGGGCUAAGAGACACCUUGUUGGUCAUGUUGUUCUUGUAUCAGUCAGGGUCAUAACAAACAGCAGUUUUUUAUUCAUCCUAAAUUGAUGCCUGACUUAGUGGCCAAAGCUGUUUUAUGCUUAGGACUCAUAA
Mus musculus (house mouse) is the source of this 143-nucleotide non-coding RNA. Lineage: Eukaryota; Metazoa; Chordata; Mammalia; Rodentia; Muridae. The record is from Rfam.